Molecule: RNA transcript, 336 nt
Organism: Odobenus rosmarus divergens (Pacific walrus)
Lineage: Eukaryota; Metazoa; Chordata; Mammalia; Carnivora; Odobenidae
Exons: 2
Source: RefSeq, a predicted model, not a curated record
AAAAUUAAGACUAAACAAAAUUAAGAGUUAAAUUUAAAAGUGAUUAAAAUUAAACAUAGCUUUACAUAAGUCAAAACAUUUUUUUCCUUUUAAAAUUGUUCCCCACUGUAUUCGCCAGUAUAUUCUUCAAGCUUCUUCCAAAGGUUAAUACAUCAAGACAAAGGUUUGUCAUGACUGAGGAGACUACAAGGAAUGCAGACAGGCUCUGAGCAGUACUAUAGAAAAGAAAGAUCAAUUAACAUGAGAGUCAGAAAACCAAGCUUCGUCUAUGCCUAUGACAGGCUGUGUGAUCAUAGGUCAAGAUCUUUUACCGUAUUUCCUGAGUAAAUGCCAAGC